RNAcentral lists this ribosomal RNA (399 nucleotides) under uncultured Aerococcus sp. RNAcentral's name for it is "bacterial SSU rRNA". It matches the Rfam family "Bacterial small subunit ribosomal RNA", at positions 136 to 525 of the family's 1533-position model. Lineage: Bacteria; Bacillati; Bacillota; Bacilli; Lactobacillales; Aerococcaceae. The record is from RNAcentral.
GCGGGGACGAACAUCCGGAAACGGGUGCUAAUACCGCAUAGGAAGUUUGUUCGCAUGACAACUUAGAAAGAUGCUCUGCUAUCACUUAUCGAUGGCCUUGCGGUGCAUUAACUAGUUGGCGAGGUAACGGCUCACCAAGGUGAUGAUGCAUAGCCGACCUGAGAGGGUAAUCGGCCACAUUGGGACUGAGACACGGCCCAAACUCCUACGGGAGGCAGCAGUAGGGAAUCUUCCGCAAUGGACGCAAGUCUGACGGAGCAACGCCGCGUGAGUGAAGAAGGUUUUCGGAUCGUAAAACUCUGUUGUAAGAGAAGAACAAAUUGUAGAGUAACUGCUACAGUCUUGACGGUAUCUUACCAGAAAGCCACGGCUAACUACGUGCCAGCAGCCGCGGUAAAU